RNAcentral lists this ribosomal RNA (469 nucleotides) under uncultured Alphaproteobacteria bacterium. RNAcentral's name for it is "bacterial SSU rRNA". It matches the Rfam family "Bacterial small subunit ribosomal RNA", at positions 9 to 524 of the family's 1533-position model. Lineage: Bacteria; Pseudomonadati; Pseudomonadota; Alphaproteobacteria. The record is from RNAcentral.
GAGUUUGAUCCUGGCUCAGAGCGAACGCUGGCGGCAGGCCUAACACAUGCAAGUCGAGCGCCGUAGCAAUACGGAGCGGCAGACGGGAGAGUAACACGUGGGAACGUACCCUUCAGUACGGAACAACCAAGGGAAACUUUGGCUAAUACCGUAUACGUCCGUAAGGAGAAAGAUUUAUCGCUGAAGGAUCGGCCCGCGUCUGAUUAGCUUGUUGGUGAGGUAACGGCUCACCAAGGCGACGAUCAGUAGCUGGUCUGAGAGGAUGAUCAGCCUCACUGGGACUGAGACACGGCCCAGACUCCUACGGGAGGCAGCAGUGGGGAAUAUUGGACAAUGGGCGCAAGCCUGAUCCAGCCAUGCCGCGUGGGUGAUGAAGGCCCUAGGGUUGUAAAGCCCUUUCGGCGGGGAAGAUAAUGACGGUACCCGCAGAAGAAGCCCCGGCUAACUUCGUGCCAGCCGCCGCCGUAAG